AGCUCCAAUAGCGUAUAUUAAAGUUGUUGCAGUUAAAAAGCUCGUAGUUGGAUUUGUGCUCUGCUGCGAUGUCCAAUUUGGUACGUUCGCGGGGGAGCAUCCUUGGGUGGAACCUAUGUGGCAUUAAGUUGUCGUGUAGGGGAUGCUCAUCGUUUACUGUGAAGAAAUUAGAGUGUUCAAAGCAGGCUUAUGCCGUUGAAUAUAUUAGCAUGGAAUAAUGAGAUAGGACCUUGGUACUAUUUUGUUGGUUUGCGCACCGAGGUAAUGAUUAACAGGGACAGUUGGGGGUAUUCGUAUUCCAUUGUCAGAGGUGAAAUUCUUGGAUUUUUGGAAGACGAACUACUGCGAAAGCAUUUACCAAGGAUGUUUUCA
RNAcentral lists this ribosomal RNA (372 nucleotides) under uncultured eukaryote. RNAcentral describes it as "SSU rRNA". It matches the Rfam family "Eukaryotic small subunit ribosomal RNA", at positions 587 to 972 of the family's 1831-position model. The record is from RNAcentral.